This is a non-coding RNA of Prunus avium (sweet cherry), 267 nucleotides long. Lineage: Eukaryota; Viridiplantae; Streptophyta; Magnoliopsida; Rosales; Rosaceae. The record is from RefSeq and is a predicted model, not a curated record.
UUUUAUUAUUAUGACUAAGGGUUGGGUCAGUGGAGAUUGGGCCCCCACUAAAAACUGUUAUGGCUUGAUUGUGAUUGUGCAACAGCAGGUCACCAAGAAAGUGUGAUUAAAAGAAGAAACUGAUUAGGCAUCCUGGCUUUGAUCAUACAAUACAAGUGACUCUCAGUUGUUGUACAUGUGAUGAAUUUAGGUAAUUGUAACUCAAAUUUCAUCAAAUUUCAUGAUUGCUGAUAUUUAUGAAUUAAAUUCAGAUUGAUCUGCCGACAA